GAUUAUGUCACCAAUAUUUCUAGAGGUUUACAUUUUCACCUUCCCUUUUCUGGUUCACCUUGGAAAGUGGGUGUUGCCGCAUUCUGUCUGGGUGCUGGUGGUACUUGUUUAAAAUGAUGCUUUCGUGUUUACCUUGAACCAUGGUGUAGAAAGAAUCGAUCGAGGACAGAUUUGAAGUGAUGCUGACAUCUUCUUCUCGGCUAGAUGACUCAAUGUCCACUGUGAUAGCCUUGUCCAUGUCCCCAUGCAGCACCAGAGAAAAUUUCAAAAAUGAUGGUGUCGUCUGAAGAAAGAAAAAAAAAAAAGCAAAAAUCUGGAUGAGAAAUUAGGAGUUUCCUUGGGACCACAAUAUACUAAAGGGUGGAUUUCAGAUUGAUUCUAAGACUGCUUCACUAAUCGAAGGUUCCCAGUGAGAUGGAGACCUGAAUCAACAUCCUACUUGAAUGCGGACGAGUAAAAACUUUUUCACAGAUUAGCACCUAUGUCAACAGAAAUGAAAACGAGAUGAAGGAAAGACAUCAGAAAAAUGACCCGGGGACUCUGACUAAGGGAGUGAAAGAAAAUGUCUUCAAAGACGACUCUCAGGUACUUCCAUAAACAUCAGGCUAACUCUUCUUUACCUCCACAAAAGAAGAAAACCAAUGCACCCACGAAUGUCCAGCUAGCCUCUGAAAUACUCUGACUCCAGGUCUUAAAAAGACCUUUCCAACAACUAGAUAUGCCUCUGGGCGGAUUCAGAUUCUCUUGCUUAUUUGCAACUGUGUGACUCAACUGAACGUUGCUUGGCCUUAGUGGUGAACUAGCCCUGCCCAGCUUAUAGAUUUGAGAGGUAGUUUUCCUUUAUUAGCUUUUUGAAUGUACAAUGCAAUAGGCUCCAGGGAAUUUGAAUAGAACAUCAACUUCAUGCCCCCCAUUGCAUUCCUCUGGCCUUAGCCUCAUGGUUUCAAAUUCAUAACACAGCACAUUCCUUCCUGCUCCUGCCUGACCCCUCUUUACAAAGGACUCUCGCUGGAAAGGACAAACUUCCUCAGGCUCUCCGUGACCUACCGCUCUUCCACUGAUGAGAUGCCCUUAUUUGAUGUUUAUCUGUUUGUUGGUCUUUAAUUUGGAUUGCAUGUUUGCCUAGUUGCUGUUUUAGCUUUUGUGGUAUAUUUUUAAAUCUCUUUUUAAAGUUUCCUAAGUAGUGGGAUUAUCGACAAAUGCCUCGGAGAAUCACAGCCUCAGUCAUUCUCAGCUGAGAAUGCUAUAUUCAACCUGACGUGAAGCUCCUAACUUUCUCCUUUUCCUUGGUAAUGUCUCUCAGAUAUUUAUCUUUCUAUUCCCAGAGCUUCCCUAGACUUUUAAAAUGG
Molecule: long non-coding RNA, 1349 nt
Filed under: Homo sapiens (human)
Lineage: Eukaryota; Metazoa; Chordata; Mammalia; Primates; Hominidae
Description: HSALNT0081619
Source: RNAcentral